UGGGGAAUUUUGGACAAUGGGCGAAAGCCUGAUCCAGCAAUGCCGCGUGUGUGAUGAAGGCCUUCGGGUUGUAAAGCACUUUUGGCGGGAACGAAAAGGACCGUGCUAAUACCAUGGUUCGAUGACGGUACCCGCAGAAUAAGCACCGGCUAACUACGUGCCAGCAGCCGCGGUAAUACGUAGGGUGCAAGCGUUAAUCGGAAUUACUGGGCGUAAAGAGUGCGCAGGCGGUUUUGCAAGACCGAUGUGAAAUCCCCGGGCUUAACCUGGGAACUGCAUUGGUGACUGCAAGGCUAGAGUGUGUCAGAGGGAGGUGGAAUUCCGCAUGUAGCAGUGAAAUGCGUAGAUAUGCGGAGGAACACCGAUGGCGAAGGCAGCCUCCUGGGAUAACACUGACGCUCAUGCACGAAAGCGUGGGGAGCAAACAGGAUUAGAUACCCUGGUAGUCCACGCCCUAAACGAUGUCUACUAGUUGUCGGGGAUUAAUUUCCUUGGUAACGCAGCUAACGCGUGAAGUAGACCGCCUGGGGAGUACGGUCGCAAGAUU
Molecule: ribosomal RNA, 547 nt
Filed under: uncultured bacterium
Lineage: Bacteria
Description: bacterial SSU rRNA
Rfam family: Bacterial small subunit ribosomal RNA
Source: RNAcentral